CCGGCGUACACUUGCCACCCCGCCCGCCGAGGUUCACUACCCUCCCCCACAAGCUGUGGUUCCCCGUGAGGCUGAUAUGAAAUAUUCAGUCAUAGGAGACACUGCAGGACUGGAAAGGCUGCAGCGUGGCACAACCUUCCCGUGGUCCCUCUCUCUGAAAUGGGUUGCAUCAUCUGAUUCUCUGAAAGAGGCCUUCACCAAGGAGGCGGCUGGCUGAGGAAGAUGCUGAGGGUGGCUGUGGCAGUGAGGAUGCGGCAGCCCCGUGGUCUCACAGCAGCUCCACGCAGACACCCUAGGAGGCACCAACCUCUCAGGUGGACUGAAGGCCAGGUGCAUCAA
This 339-nucleotide long non-coding RNA is filed under the name Canis lupus dingo (dingo). Its description in RNAcentral is "lncRNA (ENSCAFG00020006150.1)". The record is from RNAcentral. Lineage: Eukaryota; Metazoa; Chordata; Mammalia; Carnivora; Canidae.